GACGAACGCUGGCGGCGUGCUUAACACAUGCGAGUCGAGCGGUAAGGCCUUUCGGGGUACACGGGCAGCGAACGGGUGAGUAACACGUGGGUGAUCUGCCCCGCACUUCGGGAUAAGCCUGGGAAACUGGGUCUAAUACCGGAUAUGACCUCCUAUCGCAUGGUGGGUGGUGGAAAGAUUUAUCGGUGCAGGAUGGGCCCGCGGCCUAUCAGCUUGUUGGUGGGGUAAUGGCCUACCAAGGCGACGACGGGUAGCCGACCUGAGAGGGUGACCGGCCACACUGGGACUGAGACACGGCCCAGACUCCUACGGGAGGCAGCAGUGGGGAAUAUUGCACAAUGGGCGAAAGCCUGAUGCAGCGACGCCGCGUGAGGGAUGACGGCCUUCGGGUUGUAAACCUCUUUCAGCAGGGACGAAGCGCAAGUGACGGUACCUGCAGAAGAAGCACCGGCUAACUACGUG
RNAcentral lists this ribosomal RNA (462 nucleotides) under uncultured bacterium. RNAcentral describes it as "partial 16S ribosomal RNA". It matches the Rfam family "Bacterial small subunit ribosomal RNA", at positions 28 to 507 of the family's 1533-position model. The record is from RNAcentral.